AGUGGGUGUGUAGUGAGGCAAUGUGUCUUUGAGGUUAUUCUUGCACUAUUAAUAAUAUCGUGUGAAUUAUGUAGAGUGGUUUGGAAGAUAUGUGUUCUAGUGGUUAUAUGGAUAGAGAGUGAAUUAUAUUUUAUGAGUGCAUAUUUGUUAUGACAGAAAACAGGUUGAAGUUUAGUCUUGUUAAGCGGCUGGCUACCUUGUCACUGUGAGCAAAAUAUCCGGUGUACGACAUGAAGUACACAAUGUUUCAUAUAAGGGAUGCUGCAACUGCUCCUUAGUUGAUCCAUCAUCAAACAAGGAACCAAUAACACCAGUGUCCAAGGCAGUGCUUCACAAUUUAGAUGUAUAUUCAGUACACCACGACUACAAUCCGUACCAAAUGGAAACCAUCCAUCUUCUCCAUUGACCAAAUAGAAACGGUGGUUUACUUCAUCAUCUUGGCAGGCUACAUGACAUGGGCGAUCAGGAUCCUCUGUAUGCAGAAAUAUGUAUUUCAUUAGAAUGAUAUGAAGGUGUCUGUAUAAACCACUGCUGGUUUGCUGUAGCAUCCUGUUGCACAUCACUCAUUUUCACUUUUUAUUUCACUGUCUUAUGUGCAACUUGUGUUAAAAUCUUAAGAUAUUAACACAAGUUGCAUUUGAUACAGUGAAAUAGGAAAUGAAAAUGACUGACUAUGGGCUGACCAAGUGAGUGAAAAUACGAUUGAAGGAGGAUGCUUAAGAGAGAAUGGAGAAGGAGAAUAUAGGAUUAUCUGCUGUGGUGGAAAUGUCAAUAGAAGAUGAAUUAAUCUGGUGCUUUAUCAAUUCGUUUUGGAAUCCAUAUGUGUGUGUACUCCUGCAGCAUGUUCUGUCAAUCUUAAGGUGGAACAUACUGCUUCUUUCAAGGUUUCUCUGACAGUUGAAAAAUCUUGAUGGUGUGAAUG
Cryptotermes secundus is the source of this 922-nucleotide long non-coding RNA. RefSeq lists it as uncharacterized. Lineage: Eukaryota; Metazoa; Arthropoda; Insecta; Blattodea; Kalotermitidae. The transcript is spliced from 5 exons. The record is from RefSeq and is a predicted model, not a curated record.